CCUGCCCCUAGAGGCAUUGCUGUGGCUUCUGUGUUACAUGUGUGUCAGUAGGUGGCAGAGAAGAAAGAGCCUAUGUCUACACUGAGAGUUCUGAUCUGUGAAUUCUGAAUGAUUAGUAGUCUAACAUU
Mastomys coucha (southern multimammate mouse) is the source of this 128-nucleotide small nucleolar RNA. RefSeq annotates it as small nucleolar RNA SNORA17. The record is from RefSeq and is a predicted model, not a curated record. NCBI's taxonomy places the organism in Eukaryota, Metazoa, Chordata, Mammalia, Rodentia, Muridae. The transcript has a single exon.